AGAGCGAACGCUGGCGGCAUGCCUAAUACAUGCAAGUCGAACGAACUCUUCGGAGUUAGUGGCGCACGGGUGCGUAACGCGUGGGAAUCUGCCCCUUGGUUCGGAAUAACAGUUGGAAACGACUGCUAAUACCGGAUGAUGACGAAAGUCCAAAGAUUUAUCGCCAAGGGAUGAGCCCGCGUAGGAUUAGCUAGUUGGUGAGGUAAAGGCUCACCAAGGCAACGAUCCUUAGCUGGUCUGAGAGGAUGAUCAGCCACACUGGGACUGAGACACGGCCCAGACUCCUACGGGAGGCAGCAGUAGGGAAUAUUGGACAAUGGGCGAAAGCCUGAUCCAGCAAUGCCGCGUGAGUGAUGAAGGCCUUAGGGUUGUAAAGCUCUUUUACCCGAGAUGAAUAAUGACAGUAUCGGAGAAUAAGCCCCGUACGUAACCUCCGUGCCAGCAGCCGAC
Molecule: ribosomal RNA, 450 nt
Filed under: uncultured soil bacterium
Lineage: Bacteria
Description: bacterial SSU rRNA
Rfam family: Bacterial small subunit ribosomal RNA
Source: RNAcentral